RNAcentral lists this ribosomal RNA (407 nucleotides) under Microhyla annamensis (Vietnam rice frog). RNAcentral's name for it is "partial large subunit ribosomal RNA". It matches the Rfam family "Bacterial large subunit ribosomal RNA", at positions 267 to 892 of the family's 2925-position model. Lineage: Eukaryota; Metazoa; Chordata; Amphibia; Anura; Microhylidae. The record is from RNAcentral.
GCCUAAAACCUAGCUUUAAAACCUCCCCCAAUACCCCCACCCCCAAUUUUUCCCCACAAUAAAACAUUUUCCAUCAUUUAGUAAAGGCGAUUAAAAAAUGUCUUAAAGCUACAAAAAUAGUACCGCAAGGGAAAGGUGAAAUAGAAAUGAAACAACUCUUAAGCCCCAAAAAGCAGAGCUAAAACCUCGUACCUUUUGCAUUAUGGUUUAGCCAGUCCAACCAAGCAAAAUGCACUUUCAGUUUGACCCCCCGAAAUUAAGCGAGCUACUUCAAAACAGCCUUUUAGGGCAAACCCGUCUCUGUUGCAAAAGAGUGGGAAGAUUUUCAAGUAGGGGUGAUAAACCUACCGAGCUUAAAGAUAGCUGGUUAUUCAGGAAAAGGAUUUUAGUCCUACCUUAAGUUUUUU